CAGGAGUUGAUAUUGGCUUAUGGUUCCAGAGGAAUGAGUCCAUCAUGGCAGGAAAGUACGGCAGCAGACGGCAAGAGCAAGAAGCCAAGAGCUCAAGUCGUACAAGACCAAGAGAACAAACUGGAAGUAGAAAUGGAGAACCAGCUGACCCCUUGCCUCUACCUGGAUGCCUAGUGGUACCUCAAAGCCAACUGCCUAACCUGUUCCUGCCUCAGUGAAUGUAUGACCAUCAACUUCCUGUGAAGAGACAUGAAACUAGGCUGUAUCCCCACACAUCCCUUCCAUCUCUCUAUCCUGUGAACAUAGCUCAAAAUUCCUGUUUCCCACAUCUACUACAUUAAAAUGCUUUGAAGAGG
Mastomys coucha (southern multimammate mouse) is the source of this 356-nucleotide long non-coding RNA. RefSeq lists it as uncharacterized. The transcript has 2 exons. The record is from RefSeq and is a predicted model, not a curated record. NCBI's taxonomy places the organism in Eukaryota, Metazoa, Chordata, Mammalia, Rodentia, Muridae.